GGCGUCAUAAACAGUCAGAGAAAAACAUGACCAUGUCCAAUGCCAAGAGGUCCGAGACCACAAUUAUUUCGUAGUGCAUUUCUUUUAGAACAUAAAUGAAAAUAAAAAAAAAUCCCACCUGCGCUUUCUCAAAGAAACUUUUACAGAGUGUUGUACUACUUUUGGGACAAAUUAUAUCAAAAUUAUAGAAAACUUCAUCGUCUCUAACUCAAAAUAUGGACAAUUUUAUGUUUAGGGCGUCUUGAAAUCUUUUGACAGCUUCCGAAGUGCUAAUUUUAAACCUUUUUCAGCUGGACCAAAUCACUACUUUCCUUUAAAAUUCUGGACCCAAAUUUUUUACAGUGUAAUUUCACCCCCUACUUGCAAUUUGAGGCAUUAAACAUGGAGAAAUAAAUUUGGAAGGGGUAUAAAAAUUAAUGGCAAGUAACCCACUGUCAACACUAGGGACUAUAUUUGUACCAAGAUACAGGUAUUGACAUAUUGUAGAUCCAUGAAUGUGCAUAUGUAAACAACUAUAAAAGUUUGUUUUUAAUUUACAG
This 539-nucleotide long non-coding RNA is filed under the name Mytilus galloprovincialis (Mediterranean mussel). The record is from RNAcentral. Lineage: Eukaryota; Metazoa; Mollusca; Bivalvia; Mytilida; Mytilidae.